This 349-nucleotide ribosomal RNA is filed under the name uncultured bacterium. RNAcentral's name for it is "bacterial SSU rRNA". It matches the Rfam family "Bacterial small subunit ribosomal RNA", at positions 917 to 1269 of the family's 1533-position model. The record is from RNAcentral.
GGCCCCGCACAAGCGGUGGAGCAUGUGGUUUAAUUCGAUGAUACGCGAGGAACCUUACCAGGGCUUAAAUGUAGUGGGACAGGUCUAGAGAUAGACCCUUCUUCGGACUCAUUACAAGGUGCUGCAUGGUUGUCGUCAGCUCGUGCCGUGAGGUGUCAGGUUAAGUCCUAUAACGAGCGCAACCCCUAUCGUUAGUUGCCAGCGGGUCAUGCCGGGAACUCUAGCGAAACUGCCGGUGCAAACCGUGAGGAAGGUGGGGAUGACGUCAAAUCAUCACGGCCCUUACGUCCUGGCUACACACGUGCUACAAUGGUCGGUACAGAGAGCAGCCACUACGCGAGUAGGAGCG